This 359-nucleotide unclassified non-coding RNA is filed under the name uncultured bacterium. RNAcentral's name for it is "contains 16S-23S intergenic spacer region". The record is from RNAcentral.
UCCGGUUUGUCACCGGCAGUCUCGCAUGACCCGCUGGUAACAAAACAUGAGGGUUGCGCUCGUUGCGGGACUUAACCCAACAUUUCACAACACGAGCUGACGACAGCCAUGCACCACCUGUGCUACACCCUCGAAGGCGACUGCUUUUCGGCAGCUUGCAGUAGCAUGUCAAGCCCUGGUAAGGUUCUUCGCGUUGCAUCGAAUUAAGCCACAUGCUCCACCGCUUGUGCGGGCCCCCGCCAAUUCCUUUGAGUUUCAACCUUGCGGCCGUAGUCCCCAGGCGGUUCACUUAAUGCGUUAGCUGCGGCACCGAGGGAAACCCCCGACACCUAGUGAACAUAGUUUAGGGCCAAGACUAC